This 1849-nucleotide ribosomal RNA is filed under the name uncultured Tulamoeba. RNAcentral's name for it is "bacterial SSU rRNA". It matches the Rfam family "Eukaryotic small subunit ribosomal RNA". Lineage: Eukaryota; Heterolobosea. The record is from RNAcentral.
GCCAUGCGAAUCUAAGAUCAGGCUUACAACUUGAUAGCCAAUCUGUGGAUUGCUCAUUAAAAUGGUUGUAAUCCUAGCCACUGGAGAACAAUAUAAGGAUAACACUGUUAAAUGCAGCGAUAAUACUUGAAAUGGGGGCAAUCGAUUCCAUUUGAAUUGGAACGAUUGUAAGGUAUUGUCACACAACUAUACGGUGGUGUGUGAUGAUACAAGCCAACCGUUGGUAUCAAAAAGAGCGAAAACUCUUUUUCCGGUGGUCCAGUAGAGGGGCUUCCAAUCUAUCAGCUGAAGUUGUUAGCGUCAGGGACUAACAUGGCGACAACGGAUAGAGGGAAUUAGUGUUUGAACUCGAGAGGGAGCCUGAGAAACUGCUACCACAUCUAAGGACGGCAGCAGGCGCGCAAAUUGCCCAAUCUCAACAAAUGAGGAGGUAGUGACAAGAUAUAGUGACUUCACACUAUUAUGGUGGGAAGGUACUGUUUCGUGUAAACGUAACAGUUGAUCAUGAUUUGGGUGUAAACAACCUUUAGAGCAGCAAUUGGAGGAAAAGUCUGGUGCCAGCACCCGCGGUAAUUCCAGCUCCAAUAGCGUAUAUUAAUACUGUUGCGGUUAAAAGAUCCGUAAUCUGUCAAAGGAUUUGUUGUACGGCAAUAUAAAUUUUGAUCAAUCUUUUUGCAAUUUGAAACAUCGUAUUGCAAGAAUUUUGAUCAAUCUUGAAGCCAUGAUUCCCGAAUCAGGUGGCCGAAAGUCUCCUUAACUGGAGGGUGAGGCAAUUGCUGUACGAGGAAUUCGAUCCUUUUUUCCGCCGCGUGAGAAAAAAGGCUCCAAUCCAAACGCGUGGAGGGCAACCAUGAAUAAAUCGUUGCGCUUCAAGCAGGCUAUGCCAAAAUGUGGCUUGUACGAUUGAGCAUGGUAUUGCAUUAGAAACUGUAUUUUCACAAAUACGGUGUUCACAAUGAGGUUUAGGGUGAGGUUCCAGGAAUCACGAGGGAAGGGGUGAAAUCCAGUGAUCCUCGUGAGUCUAGCCGAGGCGAAGGCAGUUGUCAACCACCACAAACCUAUCGAUGAGGGAUUAAAGUUGGGGGAUCGAAGAUGAUUAGAUACCGUCGUAGUCCCAACUAUAAACGAUACCAACCGAGAAUCGGAUGUUGACACCAUUUUUAUUUGAUAAAAUAAAUUGAUCUUUUCGGAUCUCAUGAGAAAUCUGGAGUUUUUAGGUUCCGGGGGGAGUAUAGUCGCAAGGCCGAAACUUAAAGGAAUUGACGGAAAGGCACCACCAGAAGUGGAUUUUGCGGUUCAAUUCGACUCAACGCGGGAAAACUUACCAGGUCAGGACACGUAGAUGAUUGACAGGUUGAUAGCCCUUUCUUGAUUACGUGGAUGGUGGUGCAUGGCCGUUUGCAGUUCGUGGAGUGAUCUGUCUGGUUAAUUCCGAUAACGAACGAGAUCCAAACCUCUAAUUAGAUGUCCUUUUCUCCGGAAAGGGAACAAUUUUACAUCAACGUGUAAUUGGCUUCUUAGAGGGACCACUUUCAAAAAAAAGCGGAAGUUUUGGGCCAUAACAGGUCUGUGAUGCUCCUAGAUGUCCUGGGCGACACGCGUAAUACAAUAUCGGUAUCAACGAGUAUUCGUAUGGAUGAUUUUUGACAUCCGUACCUUUUCUGAAAAAGAAUGGGGAAACUAAAAAUACCGAUAUGACUGGGAUAGAGCAUUGUAACAUGCUCUUGAACGAGGAAUUUCUAGUAAGCGCAAUUCAUCAUAUUGUACUGAUUUCGUCCCUGCCUUUUGUACACACCGCCCGUCGCUCCUACCAAUUGAAUGAAGAGAUGAAGUUGACGGACCUUGGUGA